Molecule: ribosomal RNA, 314 nt
Filed under: uncultured fungus
Lineage: Eukaryota; Fungi
Description: SSU rRNA
Rfam family: Eukaryotic small subunit ribosomal RNA
Source: RNAcentral
UAACGAAUCGCAUGGCCUUGCGCCGGCGAUGGUUCAUUCAAAUUUCUGCCCUAUCAACUUUCGAUGGUAAGGUCUUGGCCUACCAUGGUUUCAACGGGUAACGGGGAAUUAGGGUUCUAUCCCGGAGAGGGAGCCUGAGAAACGGCUACCACAUCCAAGGAAGGCAGCAGGCGCGCAAAUUACCCAAUCCCGAUACGGGGAGGUAGUGACAAUAAAUACUGAUACAGGGCUCUUUCGGGUCUCGUAAUUGGAAUGAGUACAAUCUAAAUCCCUUAACGAGGAACAAUUGGAGGGCAAGUCUGGUGCCAUCANCC